GGCGAACGCUGGCGGCGUGCCUAAUACAUGCAAGUAGAACGCUGAAGAGAGGAGCUUGCUCUUCUUGGAAGAGUUGCGAACGGGUGAGUAACGCGUAGGUAACCUGCCUUGUAGCGGGGGAUAACUAUUGGAAACGAUAGCUAAUACCGCAUAACAAUGGGUGACCCAUGUCAUUCAUUUGAAAGGGGCAACUGCUCCACUACAAGAUGGACCUGCGUUGUAUUAGCUAGUAGGUGAGGUAACGGCUCACCUAGGCGACGAUACAUAGCCGACCUGAGAGGGUGAUCGGCCACACUGGGACUGAGACACGGCCCAGACUCCUACGGGAGGCAGCAGUAGGGAAUCUUCGGCAAUGGGGGCAACCCUGACCGAGCAACGCCGCGUGAGUGAAGAAGGUUUUCGGAUCGUAAAGCUCUGUUGUAAGUCAAGAACGAGUGUGAGAGUGGAAAGUUCACACUGUGACGGUAGCUUACCAGAAAGGGACGGCUAACUACGUGCCAGCAGCCGCGGUAAUACGUAGGUCCCGAGCGUUGUCCGGAUUUAUUGGGCGUAAAGCGAGCGCAGGCGGUUUGAUAAGUCUGAAGUUAAAGGCUGUGGCUCAACCAUAGUUCGCUUUGGAAACUGUCAAACUUGAGUGCAGAAGGGGAGAGUGGAAUUCCAUGUGUAGCGGUGAAAUGCGUAGAUAUAUGGAGGAACACCGGUGGCGGAAGCGGCUCUCUGGUCUGUAACUGACGCUGAGGCUCGAAAGCGUGGGGAGCGAACAGG
Molecule: ribosomal RNA, 765 nt
Filed under: uncultured Streptococcus sp.
Lineage: Bacteria; Bacillati; Bacillota; Bacilli; Lactobacillales; Streptococcaceae
Description: bacterial SSU rRNA
Rfam family: Bacterial small subunit ribosomal RNA
Source: RNAcentral